Oncorhynchus tshawytscha (Chinook salmon) is the source of this 447-nucleotide long non-coding RNA. NCBI's taxonomy places the organism in Eukaryota, Metazoa, Chordata, Actinopteri, Salmoniformes, Salmonidae. The record is from Ensembl.
UAACGCCCUGUCAACACGGGAAAAUACAAGGAGAGCCUACAUUCUAUGCUCUCCUAUGUGGUGUGAGAAAGAAUGAUGCCAGGCGUCUUUGGGCUGAGGGAGACAGGUGGUGGAAGAGCAGGCGGUGUGGGAGACAGGUGGUGGGAGAGCAGGCAGUGUGGGAGACAGGUGGUGGGAGAGCAGGCAGUGUGGGAGACAGGUGGUGGGAGAGCAGGCGGUGUGGGAGACAGGUGGUGGGAGAGCAGGCGGUGUGGGAGACAGGUGGUGGGAGAGCAGGAGGUGUGGGAGACAGGUGGUGGAAGAGCAGGCAGUGUGGGAGACAGGUGGUGGAAGAGCAGGCGGUGUGGGAGACAGGUGGUGGGAGAGCAGGAGGUGUGGGAGACAGGUGGUGGGAGAGCAGGCAGUGUGGGAGACAGGUGGUGGGAGAGCAGGCGGUGUGGGAGACAG